RNAcentral lists this long non-coding RNA (1207 nucleotides) under Manihot esculenta (cassava). RNAcentral describes it as "long non-coding RNA (MESC_LNC008349)". The record is from RNAcentral. Lineage: Eukaryota; Viridiplantae; Streptophyta; Magnoliopsida; Malpighiales; Euphorbiaceae.
ACAUGCAGGCAUGAAAAUUUGAGGACAAAAUCUCAGUGACUAGUGUGGCCACCACUGAUCUAAUGUUUUGCUACCAUUUUCUGCAACCAGGCAUCAUGUUCUCCCAAGAAUUACAAUCAUGAUGUUGAAGCAAAAGUGGAAAUUAGAAAUCAUUGCCUCAGCUGCAUGUGUAGGUCAAAUCAUGCACUGCUUAGCUCAAAAGCUUGAGAGAAUAGUAAAAAUCUUGCAGUUAAAUUGCGAAACUAUUGCUUGUAAAUCAUAUGAAACACAGCAUUGCAGAUCUUACAUAUUAUAAAAAGGAUCUAUGUAAUAGUUUUUUGGAUUAUUUAUGCCAUCAAUACUCCAAUUGCUUGGACAAUUAAUAGUGACAUUCAACUUUAAGAAAGGAAAUGAAUGAUAAGAUUCUGAUUUAAAUUCAGAUAACUAUUAGAGCAACAUUUCUUAUCAAUCUUUUCUUUUCUUUCCUUUUCUUUUCUUUUCUUUUUUUAAAAAAAAAAUAAAAAAUUUAAUGGGUAUGUAAAGGCACUGAGUGGGGGAGACUUAGGAUGUGACUAUACUCUUUUGGGGUAUUCUUGCCCAUGUGAACAUAUAUAGGUCAACAAGUUUCUGAAUUAUAUAACAAUCAGCCAAUAAUUUUUUAUUUUAAUUAAAAUUACGAGAUUUUUCAUUAGUCUGAGUAUUUAUACAUUUUGAGGUGGAUAAUAAUUUUCAUAAUUUAUAAAUAUUCUGAGAUACUAGAAAUGAAAUAGAGGAAUUAGAGAUAAAUUAAAAUAUUUAUAUUAACUUUUUUUUUUUUAAAAAAAGGCAAUUCAAAAUUAUAUUUUAUAUUAAAGGUCUCAUUAUAGUUGAAUGGAUGAUGAGGUAUGGAAUGAUGUCCUGAAAGAAAUUAUUUUUAUUUUAUUUUUCCCAGUUCUAAAUUUUAAAAGAAAUGCUUUAUAUUUUUUUAUGGCAAUUCUUCCUCAUAGGAUACCAAAAGGAAAACUGAUAAAGGAAAGGAGAGGAAACCUUUUCUUUGUGCUCUUUCGAAGUUCUAUAGCUUUGGGCAUUGGCAAAAAGCUGGGAUCGCUUCUCACGCGCGACACCCACUCAUUAUUCAGAUGGAAACGGAAUAAAUAACUGCCCCCUUCGCCUGCGGCCCACAACCACCCCCGUGAGGCGGUGCUGUUGGUGGUGGUAGGCUCCAGUGGGACCCCCAUCAAACACGCAC